CCAAAGAGUUCUCCUCCACCAUGGCUCAUCCCUCCGGUGUGCCACCCCACUCUCAAAAACAUCACAUCCCUCUUCUAUCUUGCCUACCAUCCUCCAAAGUAUCGACCCUCCCUUGUUGCGUUGUUGAAACACCGUCGGCGCCUUCCCUGUCCUCCUUGUAUCUAGAUCUAGUACCGAAGGUAAUCGCUCAUGGCCAGAUAUCUGGUCUCCAUGUCAUCCCCACAUUUAGAUCUGGUCUCAUCGGCAAUAGAGGAUACAUUCAUCCUCUUGAUGGCUAGAUUUGGUCUUCAUGUCAUCCCCAUGUUCAGAUCUGGUCUCAUCGACAACAGGGGAUGCCUUCAUCCUCUCGAUGGCUAGAUCUAGGUGCUCGUCCUUUUCCCCAUCACCACUGUGGUCAGGUUCGGUCUUCAAUCCUUCCUUCGUUGUCUUAGCGGACAGAUGUGGAAACAACACCGACAAUCAAUGGACAGCUAGAUAGCUUGGGCAAAUUACAAAGGAUCCCGGCGAUAAGCAUUUGCCAUGAAAGUUGUUCAUUACUUUCCUGUUUCUUGCUUAUAGCUCGCCUCGAGGAACAAUUCAACACAUGAAAAGUACCCUCCUUCACAUUAUCUUUUUUUUGCGAGGAACCCUCCCUCACAUUAUCAACCUCAUUUAUCCUUUCUUGUCCAGAGGCAAUGCAUAGUUUCAGUGCAAGAAAAAUAUUAUCGAGGAGGAUCGUGGCUAAUAAGCUAUCACAUCUCCCUUCUAUUUUGUCGACCAUCCUCCAAAGUAUCGACCCUCCCUUGUUGUGUUGGUGAAACACCGUCAACGUGUUCCUUAUCCUCCAUGUAUCUAGAUCUAGUAUCGCAAUCAGUCACGAAUGGCCAGAUCCGGUCUCCAUGUCAUCCCCACAUUUAGAUCUGGUUCCAUCGAGAACAGAGGAUGCAUUCAUCCUCUCGAUGGCUAGAUCUAGGUGCCCGCCCUUCUCCCCAUCACUUUUGUGGUCAUGUUCAAGCAUCUUUCUAUCAUUGUUCACGUUAUCUGAUCUGGUCUCUCAUUCUUCAUAUGUUCCAUGGUCAGAUGCGAUCUCUCAUCAUCCCUUUCAUCCCAUUGCCAGCUCCGAUCUUCCAUCCUUCCUCUGUUGUCUUGCGAACAUAUGUGGAAACGACACCGACAAUCAAUGGUAUGUUUAUACAUUUACUUUGUUCUUAUUAUGUAAUGCCGGCUUGAUAGCCUGCCGCUGAGCCAUCCCCUUUCUUUCUUCUCCAUGUGGGACCCACGAUGGCCAGAUAGCGUGGGCAAAUUACGAAGGAUCCCGGCGAUAAGCACUUGCCCUGGAAAUUGUUCAUUGCUUUCCUAUUUCUUGCUAUAGCUCAACCACUGCCUCGAGGAACAAUGCAACACAUGGCAGGUACCCUUCCUCACCUUAUCAGCCUCAUUUAUCCUUUCUCGAGCACACUCUAUGGCAAACAAGCCAUGGAAAUCCAAACCAGUGUUAGGAGGAGAGGCCCCACACAAAAAAAUAUGAAGAAACAAUUGCCUAGAUAAGCCAGGGCUCCACGGGGGAAAGCGAAGGAAAGCAAUCUCGGCACUUUCCCCCCUAAAUUACAGCGCUCUUCAUCCCACGUCGAAGGAUCUCAUCAGGUCGUAGGACACAUCUCUCUCCCUGCCCCGACCCCGAUAUAUUCUCCCCCCUCCGUCCGCCUUGUCUCGCUCUCUCGUUCUCUGCGGGAC
Molecule: non-coding RNA, 1713 nt
Organism: Aegilops tauschii subsp. strangulata
Lineage: Eukaryota; Viridiplantae; Streptophyta; Magnoliopsida; Poales; Poaceae
Source: RefSeq, a predicted model, not a curated record